RNAcentral lists this ribosomal RNA (406 nucleotides) under uncultured bacterium. Its description in RNAcentral is "partial 16S ribosomal RNA". It matches the Rfam family "Bacterial small subunit ribosomal RNA", at positions 29 to 526 of the family's 1533-position model. The record is from RNAcentral.
AUUGAACGCUGGCGGCAGGCCUAACACAUGCAAGUCGAGCGAGCGGCGGACGGGUGAGUAAUGUCUGGGAAACUGCCUGAUGGAGGGGGAUAACUACUGGAAACGGUAGGUAAUACCGCAUACCACCAGACUUGCCCAGAUGGGAUCAGCUAGUAGGUGGGGUAACGGCUCACCUAGGCGACGAUCCCUAGCUGGUCUGAGAGGAUGACCAGCCACACUGGAACGGAGACACGGUCCAGACUCCUACGGGAGGCAGAAGUGGGGAAUAUUGCACAAGGGGCGCAAGCCUGAUGCAGCCAUGCCGCGUGGGUGAAGAAGGCCUUCGGGUUGUAAAGCACUUUCAGCGGGGAGGCGUUACCCGCAGAAGAAGCACCGGCUAACUCCGUGCCAGCAGCCGCGGUAAUUC